This 505-nucleotide ribosomal RNA is filed under the name uncultured bacterium. Its description in RNAcentral is "partial 16S ribosomal RNA". It matches the Rfam family "Bacterial small subunit ribosomal RNA", at positions 30 to 523 of the family's 1533-position model. The record is from RNAcentral.
AUUGAACGCUGGCGGCAGGCUUAACACAUGCAAGUCGAGCGGUAACAGAGAGAAGCUUGCUUCUCUGCUGACGAGCGGCGGACGGGUGAGUAAUGCCUAGGAAUCUGCCUAGUAGUGGGGGAUAACUUGCCGAAAGGUAAGCUAAUACCGCAUACGUCCUACGGGAGAAAGGAGGGGACCUUCGGGCCUUUCGCUAUUGAUGAGCCUAGGUCGGAUUAGUUAGUUGGUGAGGUAAUGGCUCACCAAGACCGCGAUCCGUAACUGGUCUGAGAGGAUGAUCAGUCACACUGGAACUGAGACACGGUCCAGACUGCUACGGGAGGCAGCAGUGGGGAAUAUUGGACAAUGGGGGGAACCCUGAUCCAGCCAUGCCGCGUGUGUGAAGAAGGUCUUAGGAUUGUAAAGCACUUUAAGUUGGGAGGAAGAGCAGUUAACUAAUAUUUGACUGUUUUGACGUUACCGACAGAAUAAGCACCGGCUAACUUCGUGCCAGCAGCCGCGGUAA